Molecule: long non-coding RNA, 2411 nt
Organism: Felis catus (domestic cat)
Lineage: Eukaryota; Metazoa; Chordata; Mammalia; Carnivora; Felidae
Exons: 4
Source: RefSeq, a predicted model, not a curated record
GCUUGAACUCAUGAAACACGAGAUCAUGACCUGCGCCGAAAUCCGAAGCUUAACCAACUGAGCCACCCAGGCGCCCCUCAGGUGCAGUGAUUCUGAUGCAUGUUUCAUAUCAUCUCUCCGAGUGUGCUUAAAAGACUAUAACCCUAUAGAAGUAAUCUGCUUAUUGUUGCUAUGUGAUUCGGGGAUUUUCUUCUUUCUUUUCUCAUUUUUAAAAUUUGCGUUUCUAAGAUAAUGAUCUAAAAUCAUCUCUUUGUGUAAGCAUUUGUUUUCGGGGCAACCAAAGCAAAGACAUCUCUCAUUGAAUAGAAGCCUUGAGUUUGGGCUGCGCAUGGUUUUUCACAAUAAAGACUAGAUUUCUCUGCUCUUUUUUCAGCCAUAUAUGAGCAUGUAACCAGUCUUUAUUAAAUAGAAUGUGGAUAGAAAUUUUUGUUGUCUCUUCAAGGUUGUACCCUUAAAUAUUAGGGACAUCUGUCAUUGUUCCUUUUCUCUCUUCACUGGAUGGACAUAAGCAAUAUUGACCACACAGAAGAAGGCUUUUGCAGAUUUGGGAAAAUACAACAGAAGUCUGGAUACCAGACAUCAUAGAACCUCUGCAACAGAGUCCACUGCUUGUAUUUAGGCUAUUACUUAAAAGAGAAACAAAUUUAUUUCUGUAUCUCUCUGUCCCAGCAGCCCAAACUAUAUUGAAAUUAUUACUCUCUUAUUUCUGUAUCUCUCUGUCCCAGCAGCCCAAACUAUAUUGAAAUUAUUAUAUUGUCUACACAGAUUAAAUAUAAAUGCACAGGAUUGUACCUAAGAGCAGACUUACAUUAUAAGCCUGGUGGAAACAUUUUUUUUCUUUAGUAACAUAUAUCACACCUAGAUAGAAAUAAGACUAAGACAGAAUUCUCUAAGAGAUGAUGCUCACCUCAUUUUAACACUCUAAAUGUGAGAAUUUUAACUGAAAUUGUCAGGUAGAAUUGUAUCACUGCAGGAACUACUUAAAACAAUACUUGAAACAAUUUUUCAGCUUAAGCAGUUAUAAAAUGAAAGUAGGAAAAUACAAUUGAAUGUUCUCUCUGGAAUGAGAACAUUGUACAUUUUAUGAUGCAUUAGCCUAAGCAUACAGAUAUUCAACAAUAAAAAUAGUUGUUGGUUGUGAUAUGAACUUCCAGUUCUUCCCAAUGAAAGACUUUGUAACGAUGAGGUUACUGAGAAAUCAUCUGCAGUUUUUUCUUCAAAAUAUACUUGCCAAGUUAACAAAUCUGUAUUAAAAAAAAUAAUCUCUAAGCAUUUGAUGAACACCAGAGGACGGGAGGCAGGGUAUUAAUCAGCAGUGCUGAGUGUUCUUUGUGAGUUGGCCUUGCUAUUAUUUUAGGAUUCUUAUUUUCAGGUUUCAGAAUACUUUUUGUCUGUGAUAGUAUUUUGUUUCAAGCAUGAAGUUUUAAUCAAACAUUUUCCAUGGAUAUUUUUCCCUGCGACAGUUCCUACAAACUAUCUAUGACUAUUUAACUUAAGAAUGGAUUCUGUCUGUAAUUGGAGUUUGCUGUUCUGCAUUUGUGUUGCUGUUAUUUUCUGUAUCCUGUGGGUUCUUGGAUUGACUGGGAGUGUUAUAUUUACUCAUUCACUCAUUCGCUCAUUCACUCACUAGUUCAGGCAUGGUAAUAAGCAAUUUAAUGCCCCUUUCUAUAUAGGGAUCAAACUGAAGACAUGCCUUUCUUGGAAAGAUCAUGAUAUUCCUUUAAGUAAUAUCCUGAGCACUUGUAGCAUUGGCUAGGGUAGCCUUAUUUAUAACCAUCUCAUUGCCAUGAAGUGGACUCCAUUUUCUUAUAUUUCGGCCUUUGGUGGUUAUAUUUCCACUGUAAUCACAUAUUAUCAAUAUUAUUCUACAAAAACACUAGGUUUCUUUUAAGAUAACUUAAAGUUGAACUUCCUUAUUUGCUCUGUAUAUAGUUUUCAAUUUGUUGUUAAUGACUUAUUUUCAUCUUGAUAUGUUUGAGAUUUCUAGUAUAUAUAGCUUUGCCUCUUCAUUUAAAAGGUAAUUGUUUUGGUCCUUCUUAACAAGGUGAAAAAGGAAAAUGCAGACAUUUUGCUACAGCAAGGCUGUGGAGAACCCACAGAGCCAUGAAUAGAGAGAAAGUUUAUAUUCUGAAAAGGAAUGCCUCGCGUUGGUGGGAAUUAACCCAGAGAUUCUGGGAAAUGUAGUUCCCAGGCUUUCAGCCCCUGUGGUGGAGACAGUAGAAAUGGGCGACUCUUGCUGACUUGCCAAAAGGGAAAUCAGAGAAAACUACUGAUCUUGGUGUACAAUAUAGAGAUUCAGCAAUUCUAUACAUUACUCAGGGCCCAUUGUGUAAGUAUAACUUUAAUCCCCUUCACUUAUUUCACCCUUCCCCCCAUCCACCUCCACUCUGGCAACCAUCAGUUUGUUCUCU